Molecule: long non-coding RNA, 5185 nt
Filed under: Sus scrofa (pig)
Lineage: Eukaryota; Metazoa; Chordata; Mammalia; Artiodactyla; Suidae
Description: lncRNA (ENSSSCG00000056512.1)
Source: RNAcentral
GAUCUGAUGAAAGGAACAGAAACCCUGUCCCUCACAUGCCAAGCUGCCCUCAUGUUAAGUCAGGAAUUUUUUUCAAUGCUCGUCCACCCACUGGAGUAGGUAGGAGUCAGGAGACCUAAAUCCAGUAGGCAUGAGUCCUCGUCCUGUCUGGACCAGUUACUGGCCCUUGCACAAGUCCCUUUCCCAUUCUGCUGUUCAGAUUCUUCAUCUGUGAGGUAAAGGGGCUGGGCUCAGGGAGCUUUACGGUCCUCACCAUUCCAAGAGCAUCUCAAGCCCUUAAUGUGGUCACUCAUACGCUUGGAAACGAGGCCCCAAAGAUAAAAAUACCUUAAAACUCUCUGGAGACUGAAAACCUGGUAUCUACUUUAGCAGAAUCUAGCCUGCUGCUUUUCCAAAACCCAAAUGAAAGAAAAUUUGGUUUACACGUGUUAUUGUUAUGGAUAAUCGUAGGUUAUUCUUAUACAAAGAAGACUUUUCCAUCUUUUUUUUUUUCCUUAAGGUUGCUUUCAUGCACACUAAGAUUAUGCUUUUCCAUGGUCGUUAAACGUAUUCUGUGACUUGAGUUAAAGUGUAUUCAAGGAUCCACAUGAAAAUAAAACCAGGCACAUUGCAACCUCUAUUGUGAUAUUUAUCACUGAUGGGGCUCACAUGACUGCAGAGCUCCAUAAAACUCUGGAGGGGUUACCUUCACUUAAUGGCGUCCUUCCCUUUCACUCACCAGCCACUUCUUAUUGCAAACAGCUGCUUGGAAACGAAAAAACAUUUUCUAUAUCCAAGGGACAUUGUUGGCUCUCCAAGUACUUUGCUCAUUUUAUUUAACAAAUGUUUAAGUUUAAUCAAAUUUCUAAUUCCAAAAAUGAGCCAACCUUGCAUUUUGAAUCACUAGCUUGUGAAACUUGCGCAUUUAAAAUAGUAUAAAAGGAAUCAAAUUCAAGAGCCCCCCUCCAAAAAAAAGAAGUGAAGUGUGUGACUCCUAUGGCUUCAGUUUACUCUGAUGAUGCUUCUGCCACCCCUUGGACCAGCUGGUUUCUACCCACACAGUGAUUCCAAGGGGACCGACCAUCAGCUUCUAAUGAAGGCUUCCUUGAGUUCUGAUAGAAAGUUCAUCCCCAAGAACCUAGUGAAACUGCAUCAGCACCAAAGUAAGGGAGGAAAACAAGCAUCAUAUAAACUUUAUUAGCACUCUUUAUUAUGAAAUAAACUAGGCUUACACUUCUUUUGGAGGGAAAAUGAUGAACACAGAAAACAUACCGUAUUUUUACUUACUAACGUGCACUUGUAAAAUGCAUGGCAUGCUGUUUUACAGGCAGUAGCAUAUAAAAUACUUUUUCCAGAUGUGGAUUCAUAAUUCUCGAAAGACUAUAAUAGUUAUCAUAAGAUUUAUGGAGGAUAAUUUAUUAAUCACAUUUUUUGCUUUUAGAGAUCUGUUUAGUGAGAUGAAAGAGAACUUUAAAAUGACAUUUUAACCAAAUGUAGAUGGCAUAAUAUCAAGUUACUCCUUUUGUUCAAAUUAUUUUUAAUGACUUUAUGUGUUUUAUUGCCUGCACAAGUCAGUACCAACUUGGUGGUAAUGAUCUAUUUAGGAAAUCUCUUAAGAUUUUUAAAGUAAAAUAGCAUAGAGCUAUUUUAAAAACUAAAUGAACUGAACUAUGUGAGUUGAUUAGUGUUCAUUUAUUUGAGAGACACGGGAGCUACUAAAGCUUAUUUUUUACAAGAUUUGGAGGAGACAAAUCUUGUGGAAAACUGUAGCUCCCUGAACAAUUAUGUGGCCGCCUCAAUAGAAACUUAGAAGCCCACGUGUGUCUGAAGUGCUACAAAUAACACGUUAAAUAAAACACACAUUUCAAACAUGGAUCCUUUAAUCUGGCUAAGAUCAUUAAAAAUCCAGCUGUGCUAAAUCCAUAUUGUGGACCCAAGUCACAUGAUAAGUUAAAAAGCCCAAAUGACACUCUUUUUGUCAUCACUUUGAUUUGAAGUAAGUUUUGUCUAAAGCUUUACACUGACAAUGUUGAAAAGAAGAUAACUCUGCAAUUGGAGAGGGCUCAUCUGUCCUAAGAUUACUGUCAGCUCCACACCAUUCCCUCUUCUCUAAUCCAUGGCUUCCCUGGUAGAGAGUUUACACCAGACCAGGGGUAUAGAUUGUUACGGAAUUAAUGAUCAACCCAGAAGCUCGCCAUCCUUCUUCCCUCCAGACUCUUACAGCAACCAGCCGAUCUCCCGCAUCUCUAAUGUAAGUAUAAUAGCACUUACUUUUCAAAGUUAUCACAAGGGUUAAAAUAAAAUGAUGUGUACACGUCAUCUACAGCCUGGCACAUGUACCGUAUUCAAUAGGUAGAAGCUAUUACAGUUAUAAUGUGUAUAAGUGCAUGAGAAGUUUGCCUUUUGUUUAUUUUGCAAACGCAAUACAGUCAAGUGGUAUUUAUGGAUAGAUUUGAAAAUAAGAGUAUGAAAAACAGAACCAUAUUGAAUAACUACCAUGUAUAAUCCACUAUUCUAGGUCUUGUAAGAGACAACAUGUGAGGGGGGAUCUAUGAUCCAAAGCAUUUAUAAUCAAUGAGAGAGCUCCAAAGCACAUGCUGAAAAUCUCAGCAGCAUUUUAAAUCGAUGGCCAUAUGAAAGCACGAUACCACAGCUAGACCUGGGGUGUCACUGGAAGUUUCCACAUACAGGGCGUGGGCAGUGACUCCUGAAGGUCAACAAAAGGUUGAGAAUGCCCGGGUAAGCUAGGAAGACUCCAUGUCAGUUGGGUUGGCAUGAGUGUGAGUGGGGAAUCCAGGAGAAGGAGACUCAGGAGCAUCUGAGAAUUAAGUCAACCAGAUAACUGAUGCUGCUGCGCAGCUUGAGGACGAAGGCCAUGAUGCUGGAAGAAUGGGCCUGAGGAAUGGAGAACCAGGCUCGGUGUCCGUGUAGAGACACCAAGCCUCUCUAAAACUCUCUGAAAGUCUGAGAGAAUGCUGUGAUUAAUGUAUUAGUCCCCGAAGGAGAAAAUGUUCUGCCUGUGAUGCAGAUGAGUAUCCAAGGUGGCCAUGACCAUGGCUGUUUUCCCUGGGAGAGGGAGCCAGCCCUGGGAAGGCUGCACAAGGAAGCUGUCAGAGCACAGCCCUCCAGCCCCACACCUCACAUAUCCUUCUCAGCAACAGUCUCUGCACUCCUGGCAAUUCUCUCUUGAUCCAUCCACCCACUGCCAGAAAACUAUGAGCUCCUUGAGGUCAGGAAUGAUUUUCUCUCUGCAUCCCUCAAGUCAUGCACUGAGUCAGCAGCCCAGGAAUGUCUGCUGCAUGAUCUGUUCUUGGCUGAAAGGCCAGUGGUCAUGACAAUUGUCAAAAUCAGGUGUUUACAAGAUUCUUAUCUGUGUGGAAAGUGUCAUAUGAAAAGAGGAAAAGAAGGAGGACAGAAACGGAGUCCUAAAAUCCACUUGGGAUGAUGAAUUAAAGCUUCUCUCACACCUCCUUCAUUAGUCUAGGAGUGCAACUUGGUUUUCUUUGUUUUUGUUUUCUUCCAAAAGAUUUACUUUAAUAUAACAUAAUAUUUUCAUGGACAGGUGAGACAGAAAAUACUCAGGCAUGAGCAUGUCUUUUGACGAGAUUAUCCAUUGCCUCUACCCCCCCCCACCACUUCCACAUCAAGGUGGACAUAAGACUAAAGGAAUGAAUACAGCAGAUAGAACAGACAGGAAAAAAAUGAUUAAAAGGAUGAAACAUCACAUUGUGCUUGGUUAUUUUCCUAUGCCACAACCAAUAAAUAUUUCGAUGCAGGGAGUUCCCAUCUUGGCACAGCAGAAACGAAUCCAACUAGGAACCAUGAGGUUGUGGGUUCGAUCCCUGGCUUCACUCAGUGGGUUAAGGAUCCGGCCACGAGCUGUGGUAUAGGUUGCAGACAAGGCUCAGACGUAGCGUUGCUGAAGCUAUGGCAUAGGCCAGCAGCUAUAGCACCAAUUAGACCCCUAGCCUGGGAACUUCCAUAUAUUGCACGGGUGUGGCCCUAAAAAGACCAAAAAAAAAAUUCAGUGCAAAUAAUUAAUUCUUCCUCUUUUCCAUUUAAGUCUGGUGGAGGAAAAAUACUUUUUCUGUAACAAAAUAUAUGGUUUUCUCAUCUCUUUAGGGACAGGACCAAGUCAUGAGCAAGAGGCAAAAGAUCCUGAGCAUUCCACCCAAGAGCCCCAUGCCCUAAGAGUGUGGGGGGCCUGAUCUCUGCCUGAACCCUGCAGUCCCCAAAGAGGAGACAACGCAUCAUCCUCAGACCACGGGGAAAUAUGGUCACCCACUGGCUCAGCAGUCAGCAAUAUAGAAAGCAAAGGAGUGCUCUGUCUACAUAACACACCUGCUUGGCCACUGCAGGAAAGCUUUCCCCACGUCUACUGUUCUACUCACCUGGCAGGUGUUCUGCUCACCUGGUUUGGAAAGCACUGUCCAAAGUCUGGGGGAGGUGGCCUGGGAAUGAACUCAACAGCUCUUCUAAGCCAUGGCAACUCUUAUCUUUAUAAACCAAAUUGAGACCAUGAACAUGAACCAGAGGUUGACAGACAUGCUCAACAAUAGAGAAGCCACAUGGGUAGCAGUAAAGAGAGCCUCACAGGGUAAGUCAAAAACACACCACCUUUGUCAUCAAUCAGAACCAAGUUCCAUAGCCCAGAAUACAUGCAUUAGAGCAUUUCAGAGACAGCAAAGGGAGCAAUGGUGGGGCAACCAUCUCUGAAAACAUGGUGUACCAGCCUUUUCAGAGUAAAGUAGCCAAGAAAGAGAACCACUGGACACAUCUCCUUUUGCUAAGCUGGGGAUAGAUCAGGGUGGGCCUUGAAUGGCAUCCAGAGGAAUUUACACUGCAUGAGGUGUAUAGGUUACUGACUGAAUCAUCAGCAUAUAGACUCCUACAUAUGUGUUUCUUCAGGGAAACAACAGCCCAUACAUAGAUAAAAAUUAUGGGAGUUCCCACCAUGGCUCAGCGGUCAAUGAACCCGACUAGCAUCCAUGAGGAUGCAGGUUCAAUCCCUGGCCUCGCUCAGUGGGUUAAGGAUCUGGCGUUGCUGUGAGCUCUGGUGUAGGUCACAGACCUGGCUCAGAUCACGCAUUGCUGUGGCUGUGGCGUAGGCCUGCAGCUACAGCUCAGAUUGGAUCCCUAGCUUGGGAACCUCCAUAUGCUGCGGGUGCAGCCCUAAAAGACCAAAAAAAAAAAAAAAAAAAAAAAA